CGGGGGCAGAUUCGGUCACCGGGGCACACGUCCCUAUGGAGGUAGCUACACAACCACCGUCACCGGUGCAACUAACUUCGGAUGAUGAGUUGUUUCAGGAGACCGGGGGGAGUGAAUUCAGCGACAGCUGUCUGCGCUCCUCCCCAUCGCCGAACUGACCUUAUCCAGGCUAACCUCCAGCACAGUCAGACAGCGUCGGCUUCCCUACGCAGACUGCUGGAGACUAAUCCGAAGACCAUCGCCGCGAUCCAGGAGCCGUGGAUCAGGAAUGGCAAGAUAUGUGGCCUGGGCGGCACCGGUGGUAAACUUUUACUGGAUACCUCCGAACCUUACAGCUAUUAGGUUACCCAGAAACAAUCAACCAGACGUCGUCCUGGCGUCCGCCUACUUACCAGGUGACGAGGACGUGCCCACUCCAGAACUCGGCCUUCUGGCUGACUACUGUGAGAGGGAGAAACUGGAGCUAAUCAUCGCGGCGGACUCCAAUGCGCACCACACGUUAUGGGGUAACGCUAGUA
Pieris napi is the source of this 518-nucleotide long non-coding RNA. RefSeq lists it as uncharacterized. The record is from RefSeq and is a predicted model, not a curated record. Lineage: Eukaryota; Metazoa; Arthropoda; Insecta; Lepidoptera; Pieridae. The transcript has 2 exons.